RNAcentral lists this ribosomal RNA (431 nucleotides) under uncultured bacterium. RNAcentral describes it as "partial 16S ribosomal RNA". It matches the Rfam family "Bacterial small subunit ribosomal RNA", at positions 29 to 505 of the family's 1533-position model. The record is from RNAcentral.
AACGAACGCUGGCGGCAUGCCUAACACAUGCAAGUCGAACGAGACCUUCGGGUCUAGUGGCGCACGGGUGCGUAACGCGUGGGAACCUGCCCUUAGGUUCGGAAUAACUCCCCGAAAGGGGUGCUAAUACCGGAUAAUGUCUUCGGACCAAAGAUUUAUCGCCUUUGGAUGGGCCCGCGUUGGAUUAGCUAGUUGGUAGGGUAAAAGCCUACCAAGGCGACGAUCCAUAGCUGGUCUGAGUGGAUGAUCAGCCACACUGGGACUGAGACACGGCCCAGACUCCUACGGGAGGCAGCAGUGGGGAAUAUUGGACAAUGGGCGAAAGCCUGAUCCAGCAAUGCCGCGUGAGUGAUGAAGGCCUUAGGGUUGUAAAGCUCUUUUACCCGGGAUGAUAAUGACAGUACCGGGAGAAUAAGCUCCGGCUAACUCCG